CCCCACCCCCAUAUAUUGUUUAAAGUAACAAAAACUGUUUGGGUGUGAUAGAGGGAAAAACAGAGAAUUAGCCUGCAAACACUGUCAGCUGCAGCAUAUAGAUCUCUGGAAAUCUGGUUCGUAUUGGGUACAGAGAGAAGAGCAGAUAAUAGGUUUUAUUGCAAAAAGAGAGGCACCACAAGUCAGAGAUAGGAAAAACGCAGUCUAAAUUCAAAGCUCUUCCAAUGAGUCACUUUAAGAUAAAGCCACUUUGGCAGAUGCUGUGGGGAGGCAAUAGGGGAAAGGUGUGUCCUUUUACUGUGCAAAAGCAAUUGAAGAUGAACGUCAGGAUAGGAACAGAUACAGGUUAACAAAUCACAAUUAAUAUUUAAUAUAGUUACUGUUUCAUGAUCAUGUUUCUUUGGUGUUGGGCUGAUAUGAAAGGACUGAUGUAUGACAAAGAAAUGCUUACGAUAAGGUAUAACCACAGUAUGAAUCUGAGCUUUCAUCAAGGGAAUGGAGGGGGGAUCCAGAUCUUUGCAUCAUUGGCAGGAAGAAAGAAUGUGAUUUUCUAAGAGAUAGAUUAUAGGGAACAACUAGGAAAAAAAUGAUUUGUGUCUAAUCAACAGCAUGAUUGAUUUUUUUUGUUGACAGAAAGGAAAAUAAUCAAGAAUGAUAUGGUUUGGGGUGAAAGACAAAGACCUUAGUGUUGGAAUACAUUUAGUUUGAUGAUGGAAUGGCAGAAAUAUCAGAGAGGUGACCCUGUGGCAUUGCAUGGUGGGAGAAGGUUCAUGAGCAGAGAGAGAUAACUGAGGAAUAACCAGAAGUCAUACAUAUUACAUCAACUAGGGAUGUUUUGCCAGGAAUGAACAGCAUGGUACCAAGGCACAGAUCCUAAGAAUUCCCCAGGAACCCAGUAUAGAGCAGGAGAGCCUAUUACAUUUCAUGAGAUAUGAGAUUGAGGCAAUCAUCACAUGCUGUUAUAAUGCUUUUAUUAACUUUUUAUGUACUUGUCCAAAAUCAGGGAACUGAAAAAAAUAGUCCAGAUAUUUCCUCUUCGUAUGAACAGAAAGAAAAAAAAGACAAAGCCUAUAAAUAGUGUUGGGAUAUUUCAAAAUUUUUGCUAUACAACAUAAAGAACCCAAUACCAUUCAAACCGUCAGUGGAAAGUGUAAAGAUAAUAACUGAAUAGCACAGAAAUUCAUUGAAUUAUUUAAAACUAAUUGAAUUAUUCAAAACUCAGGUGGCUUAAUUGUAGUUGGAUUUGUUUUUUUCUUUAACUUCUUGAGUAGUUAACCUUUUUUUAAACUUCUAAAAUUAUUUUCAGCUCCAUUAACAUAAAAACUACUUUGUUCUUCUGUACUUCCUUCUAUUAGGGCACCUUUCACAUUUUGCCUGAGAAUAGAGACAGUUCCAAUAAAUAUGUGGAGUCUAUAUUUUCA
RNAcentral lists this long non-coding RNA (1421 nucleotides) under Pogona vitticeps (central bearded dragon). RNAcentral describes it as "lncRNA (ENSPVIG00000025590.1)". Lineage: Eukaryota; Metazoa; Chordata; Lepidosauria; Squamata; Agamidae. The record is from RNAcentral.